UGUGAAGCAACAACCCACUCAAAGACGUCUCCUUUUGUGAUAGUAUGCUCACACACUCAAGAACUCACUGAACAAGCUGAUGAACACUCAACACUUAGAAGGGAAAGCAAAGAACAGAACACUUUAGAGCAAGAACAAGACAAGAGAUUGUUAACCCAGUUACACCCGUUAAAUAGGGUGUUAGUCUGGGCCGGGAACUGUCUCCCGGAAUCCACUAGAUCAAAGGUUACAAGAGAGUAUCAGACACCCCACAAGCCCCUUACAAAGCUUCUCUCGGAAUCACUCUCUACCCACUUCCCAAGAACAAAGAUACAAGUUUAUGCUGUGUAUUUUGUUCUAACUUCUUGUCUUACUUUAUCUCUAUGCAAUGUACCUAUUUAUAUGAAAAGACUUGAUAACCUAGUUGCUUCUGUGAUGCCGUUUUGAUCCCAUCACAAGCACGCUCCAUGUACGGAACCAGGCUGUCUACUCUCUCUUAUCUUCUUGUUCAGUACCCGACAAACAGCAGUUUGCUUUUGCUUUUAUGAGCUGCGGCAAACGGCUAGUCUUUGUGGUCCUGCAAAGAGAAACUCACGUGGUCUUGUCCAAGAUACAUUGAUACUUCUUCUUCACGUCUUCUUCUUCUUCUAUCUUCAUCAUGAUCUUCUUUGCUAAGACUCAACAAUUCUCCACCUAGCAAAGACAGAUCAAAGAUAGUCACAGACGUCACAGAACUAUAGAGAUAUUGAUAGUAAUCCGAUCCAGUUAACAGGAUUCCCUUCCCGGCGUCUGAGUUGAUUACUCAGACUUGACCCUCAGUAAGUCCAAUGCUGACUGGAACUUACUGACUGGCAAGAUCUUUGUGAAGAUAUCUGCUGGAUUGUGCAGCGUAGAAAUCUUCAGAACGUUCACAUGACCAUGAGCAAUGACUUGUCUGAUCUUGUGAAACUUGGUGUCUAUAUGUUUGGUUCGUUCAUGAUGAACAUUGUUCUUUGAUAACGCAAUGGCGCUUUGAGAAUCACAGAACACCUCAACAGCUCUCUGUUCAUAACCAAACUCCUUCAGGAUGCCUUUGAGCCACAACGCUUCCUUAACAGCCUCAUUCAACGCCAUAUACUCAGCUUCAGUGGUAGAUAAAGCCACAACAUCUUGUAGAGAUGAUUUCCAGCUGAUAGUAUUUCCUCCAAGCGUGAACACAACACCACUGAUUGAUCUUCUUCCAUCAAUAUCAGCUGCAUAAUCUGAAUCACAGUAGCCUCUGAGAACAAAUUCUGAACCCUUUUUGUAGCAGAGCUUCGUUUCCAUGGUACCACGAAUGUAUCUCAACACCCACUUGACUCCCAACCAGUGUUCUUUGAUGGGAUUCCCCAUGAACCUGCAGAUCAUCCCAACUGGAUAAGCUAGAUCAGGUCGUGUGCCAAUCAUAGAGUACAUAAUGCUUCCGACUGCAUUGGCAUAAGGCACUGACUUCAUGUACUCUUCUUCAUCUCUUAACUGCUCUGGUGUAGCUGCACGCAACUUCAAGUGUGCACCUAAAGGUGUUGACACUUUGUUCGAGUUUUCCAUUUUAUACAGCUCUAACACCUUUUUGAGAUAGCUUUCCUGACCCAUCCACAGCUUCCCUGCAACACGAUCUCUUCUGAUUUCCAUACCAAGAAUCUUCUUGGCUGGUCCAAGGUCUUUCAUAUCAAAUUUAUCACUCAGCUUCUGUUUCAGUUCUGCAAUAACGCUCUUCUCUUUAGCUGCAACCAACAUGUCAUCUACAUAGAUGAGUAGAUACGCCUUUGAUCCGUUCUCGUGUGCUUUGAUGUAAACACAACUAUCUCUGAGACUCUGUGUAAACCCAAUCUCAGACAUAUAUCCAUCAAACUUCUCGUUCCACAUCCUUGGUGCUUGCUUAAGACCAUAUAGAGCCUUGUUCAAGAGACACACUUGAUUAGGCUUGAACUGAUCUUCACAACCCUCAGGAGCUUCCAUGUAGAUCUUUUUAUCUAACUCUCCGUGUAAGAAGGCUGUCUUGACAUCCAACUGUUCAAGCUCCAAGUUCUCUUCAACAACAAUAGACAGUAGUAUCCUUAUAGAUACAUGUCUCACUACAGGGGAGAAUAUCUCAGUAUAAUCAACUCCUUCUCUCUGAGCAUACCCUUUGGCAACAAGCCUUCCCUUAAACCUUGGUGAUUCAACCCCUGGAAUUCCAGAUUUAUGUUUGAAAAUCCAACGGCAACCAAUAACACGUUGUCCUUUUGGUCUCUCGACAACAGUCCAUGUAUGAUUCUUUUUAUGUGAUUCCAUCUCCUCACCCAUUCCAUCUUUCCAGAACUCCCAAUCAUCACUGAGCCUCGCUUCUUGAUAACUUCCAGGUUCUUUUAUAUCUCCGUCAACAGUGGUAAUAAGUGCUUCUGCGUCAAAGUGAUCAUCUUCAUCAUCAGUAUCCUCACUGAAGUACCCCUCCACAUCAAAUCUUCUUGGAGCCCUUACUUCUCUUCUAGCUCUGUCUCUGACGAGAUGAUAACUCACUGGUGACUCAACAGCUUCUUGAUUCUCGUUUUGGACUUGUUCAUCUGAUUGCUCAAGAUGAUCAUGUCCUUCCUCUGCAGCUUCUGUAUCUUCAUUCUGAGCAUUCCCAUCAGGUGUAGAAUCUCCAAGGGAUCCUAUCUCUUCCGAGAGAUCUCCACCUGAACCUGAAUCUCCAGUUCCUUCUGGAUCAAUGUUGAAAAUUAUCUCUGAAGUCUCAUAUUCACUGCCCUGAAUCUGUUUUCCCCGUUGAAUCACAUCCUUGUACACAGCAUUCUCUUGGAACAUCACAUUUCUACUGAUCAUACACUUCUUCUCUUCUAGCAACCAAACCUUGUAACCUUUAACUCCUGGUGGAUACCCAAGCAUUACUCCCUUCUUGGCUCGUGGAGUAAGCUUUCCAUCGUCUGAAUGUGCAAAACAAACACACCCAAAUCUUCUCAAGUAACUGUAACCCGGAGACUUUCCUGACCAUUUCUUGUCUGGAAUCUCAAAGUUAAUUGCAGAAGAUGGUGUUUUGUUUAUCAGUGUUACAGCUGUUUGAGUUGCUUCAGCCCAAAACGUCUGAGGUAGACCAGAGUCACUCAACAUACUUCUUACCUUCUCCAUGAUAGUACGGUUCAUCCUCUCAGCAAUGCCAUUUUGCUGAGGGGUGUAUGCACACGUUCUAUGCCUCACGAUCCCUUUUUCUUUACAGAAAUCAUUGAACCUCGUGUUGCAGAACUCAAGCCCGUUGUCAGUUCUCAAUAUCUUCACCUUUCUCUCUGUCUGGUUCUCAAUCAUGAUACUCCAUUCCACAAACUUACCAUAAGCUUCAUCUUUGUGCUUCAAGAAGUACACCCACGUCUUCCUAGUGUAGUCAUCAAUAAACGAGUGAAAGCCAGAGGUUGGUCAGAUGUAUGCAACAGAGAGAAAGAGCGAUGAUACUGUCUUAUGGCACAGAAGGCUGGGUCACAUGAGUCAGAAGAACCUUGAUCUGCUGGUUAGAAAAGGUCUUCUAGACAGAAAUCAUUGAACCUCGUGUUGCAGAACUCAAGCCCGUUGUCAGUUCUCAAUAUCUUCACCUUUCUCUCUGUCUGGUUCUCAAUCAUGAUACUCCAUUCCACAAACUUACCAUAAGCUUCAUCUUUGUGCUUCAAGAAGUACAUCCACGUCUUCCUAGUGUAGUCAUCAAUAAACGAGAUGAAGUAUUGGCAUUUUCCUAGAGACAAUGGCACACUUGGAGCACCCCAUAAGUCUGAAUGAAUGUAGUCUAACCGAUCUUUAGUGUCAUGUGUAGCUACUGAGAAACUGACUCUCUUUGCCUUACCAUACACACAGUCUUCACACAUCUCCAUUACAGAGACCUUCUUUCUGUCUAGAAGACCUUUUCUAACCAGCAGAUCAAGGUUCUUCUGACUCAUGUGACCCAGCCUUCUGUGCCAUAAGACAGUAUCAUCGCUCUUUCUCUCUGUUGCAUACAUCUGACCAACCUCUGGCUUUCCCUGCAGUAUGUAGAGUUUCUCACACCUCUUUCCACUCAUAAGAGUCUUGGUUCCAUCUUUGACACUGAGAAUCCCGUUCUUUGAUUCAAAACUGCAUCCAAGUUCUUCUAGUGUUCCCAUAGAUAGAAGAUUUCUAUCCAUCUCAGGGAUAUACCUUACACAUGUUAGUAGAAAGGUUGAGCCAUCUUCAUUUUUGAUUCUGACAUUACCAACUCCUUUCACCUUAGACGUAGUCUUGUUUCCCAUACGUACUGAUCCUCCAACAUCUUCUCUUAGAGUCUCGAACCACUCUUUCUUAUGAGUCAUAUGAUAGCUGCAUCCAGUAUCCAUUACCCACUCGUGUUCCAGAUUUAUGUCUAUUAACAACAGUGCUUCUGACACAUAUAAGCCUGCAGCAUCAUUCUUGUUAUCUUUAACCAUGGCAGCUUCUCCUCUGCUGCUACUUCCUUGUUGCUUGGACUUGGUCUGAAAUUUGUUCUUGUUUGAACAAGUAUUCCUGAAGUGUCCUUCUUCUCCGCAAGUCCAGCACACCUUCUUGUUCUUAGACUUUGAUCUUGACUUUGACUGUCUAGAAGAUCUGUCUUUCCCCUCUGACCUUCCUCGUUGAUCACCUCUGUCCCUGACAUACAGACUUUCUGCUUACCCUUUAGACCCACGUGAAUUUGAACCUGUCUCAAGUUCCUUAGCGUAAAUGGCUGCAACAACUUCAUCAAGCGUCAGUGUUGUUCUUCCUGAGCCAUAUCUUAGCGUGUCACGUAGUUGAUCAAACUGUUUAGGUAGAGACAUAAGCAACAAGAUAGCUUGGUCUUCAUCAGAAACCAUAACACCAAUGUUCUCUAGAUCCGUUAUGAGAUGUAGGUACUCAUCAAUGUUGUGUUCAAUAGACAAGCUUUCAGACAUCUUGUACCCAUAGAGCUUCUGCUUCAGGUAGAACCGGUUUCGAAGCGCUUUAGCAAGAUAGAGCUGGUCCAGUGCUCUAAUCAUCCCAGCUGCUGUUUCUUCCUUCCUUAUCUUCCUCAGAACUCUAUCAGUAACGCUCAAGAUGAUAGUGCUUCUAGCUUUCUUCACUUUCUCAGCUAAAGCUUCCGCCUUUUCUAAAGCUUCUUUCUUUUCUUCACUUGUUUCACCCAGAUCUGUGACUUUCUCUGUUGGUUUACCAGAUUCUUCCAACGCUUUGCUCAAACCCUGAAGAUCAAUCUGAGCCAACAGUUUGUCUUUCCACAGUGUGUAGUCCCCAUGACCAUCAAACUUCUCAAGCUCUAUUCUUGACGACGACGACGACAUGGUUCCGUUCUGACCGUUAGAUCUUCAGGAACCUCCACAAGUAACUCCAACCUGUGCUCUGAUACCAAUAUGUGAAGCAACAACCCACUCAAAGACGUCUCCUUUUGUGAUAGUAUGCUCACACACUCAAGAACUCACUGAACACGCUGAUGAACACUCAACACUUAGAAGGGAAAGCAAAGAACAGAACACUUUAGAGCAAGAACAAGACAAGAGAUUGUUAACCCAGUUACACCCGUUAAAUAGGGUGUUAGUCUGGGCCGGGAACUGUCUCCCGGAAUCCACUAGAUCAAAGGUUACAAGAGAGUAUCAGACACCCCACAAGCCCCUUACAAAGCUUCUCUCGGAAUCACUCUCUACCCACUUCCCAAGAACAAAGAUACAAGUUUAUGCUGUGUAUUUUGUUCUAACUUC
RNAcentral lists this long non-coding RNA (5675 nucleotides) under Brassica rapa (field mustard). RNAcentral describes it as "long non-coding RNA (BRAP_LNC006388)". The record is from RNAcentral. Lineage: Eukaryota; Viridiplantae; Streptophyta; Magnoliopsida; Brassicales; Brassicaceae.